RNAcentral lists this ribosomal RNA (663 nucleotides) under uncultured Actinomycetes bacterium. RNAcentral describes it as "bacterial SSU rRNA". It matches the Rfam family "Bacterial small subunit ribosomal RNA", at positions 232 to 885 of the family's 1533-position model. The record is from RNAcentral. Lineage: Bacteria; Bacillati; Actinomycetota; Actinomycetes.
CGCGGCCUAUCAGCUUGUUGGUGAGGUAACGGCUCACCAAGGCAACGAUGGGUAGCUGGUCUGAGAGGAUGGUCAGCCACAUUGGGACUGAGACACUGCCCAAACUCCUACGGGAGGCUGCAGUCGAGAAUAUUUCGCAAUGGGGGAAACCCUGACGAUGCGACGCCGCGUGGGGGAUGAAGGCCUUCGGGUUGUAAACCUCUGUGUUACGGGAUGAAUUGAGCGUUGCUGAUAACGCAGCGUUUUUGACGUUACCGUAGUAGAAAGCCCCAGCUAACUACGUGCCAGCAGCUGCGGUAAUACGUAGGGGGCAAGCGUUGUCCGGAAUCACUGGGCGUAAAGCGCGCGCAGGCGGUGGAGUAAGUCAGACGUGAAAGGGUUCGGCUCAACCGAGCCAUUGCGUUUGAUACUGCUUUACUUGAGUCUAGAAGAGGAAAGUGGAAUGUAUGGUGUAGCGGUGGAAUGCUUAGAUAUCAUAUAGAACACCCGUGGCGAAGGCGGCUUUCUGGUCUAAGACUGACGCUCAUGCGCGAAAGUUUGGGGAGCAACCGGGAUUAGAUACCCCGCUAGUCCUUACUGUAAACGAUGGGUACUAAGUGUAGGGGGUGUUGAUUCCCUCUGUGCUGUAGCUAACGCAUUAAGUACCCCGCCUGGGGAGUACGG